GCCCAGUCUUCUACUCCCCCUGCUGGACAUGAAGGUGAACUACAAGGCCCAGUCUUCUACUCCCCCUGCUGGACAUGACGGUGAACUACAAGGCCCAGUCUUCUACUUCCCCUGCUGGACAUGACGGUGAACUACAAGGCCCAGUCUUCUACUUCCCCUGCUGGACAUGACGGUGAACUACAAGGCCCAGUCUUCUACUUCCCCUGCUGGACAUGACGGUGAACUACAAGGCCCAGUCUUCUACUUCCCCUGCUGGACAUGAAGGUGAACUACAAGGCCCAGUCUUCUACUUCCCCUGCUGGACAUGACGGUGAACUACAAGGCCCAGUCUUCUACUUCCCCUGCUGGACAUGACGGUGAACUACAAGGCCCAGUCUUCUACUUCCCCUGCUGGACAUGAAGGUGAACUACAAGGCCCAGUCUUCUACUUCCCCUGCUGGACAUGAAGGUGAACUACAAGGCCCAGUCUUCUACUUCCCCUGCUGGACAUGAAGGUGAACUACAAGGCCCAGUCUUCUACUUCCCCUGCUGGACAUGAAGGUGAACUACAAGGCCCAGUCUUCUACUUCCCCUGCUGGACAUGAAGGUGAACUACAAGGCCCAGUCUUCUACUUCCCCUGCUGGACAUGACGGUGAACUACAAGGCCCAGUCUUCUACUUCCCCUGCUGGACAUGACGGUGAACUACAAGGCCCAGUCUUCUACUUCCCCUGCUGGACAUGACGGUGAACUACAAGGCCCAGUCUUCUACUUCCCCUGCUGGACAUGACGGUGAACUACAAGGCCCAGUCUUCUACUUCCCCUGCUGGACAUGACGGUGAACUACAAGGCCCAGUCUUCUACUUCCCCUGCUGGACAUGACGGUGAACUACAAGGCCCAGUAUUCUACUUCCCCUGCUGGACAUGACGGUGAACUACAAGGCCCAGUCUUCUACUCAGGAACCCAAGCUUUGAUCAUUUCAAUCAGCUGUGUAGUACUAGUUCUAGUAGAAGGCAAAAAUCAAAACGUGCACCCCUCGGUGUCCAUUGAGUUUGGUAACGAUGAACUAGCAUCUCCGCCGGCCGCCCCUCCUCCUGCGGCUAACCCCAGGGCAGCGGCUGGGAGCUCUGGCUCGGCGUCGGGGCAUGGUGGUGCUAGUUAGCUGUGUGUUUCUCAUUGGUUUG
Molecule: long non-coding RNA, 1163 nt
Organism: Oncorhynchus keta (chum salmon)
Lineage: Eukaryota; Metazoa; Chordata; Actinopteri; Salmoniformes; Salmonidae
Exons: 3
Source: RefSeq, a predicted model, not a curated record